CGGACGGGUGAGUAACGCGUGAGAAUCUGCCCUCAGGAGGGGGAUAACGGUUGGAAACGACCGCUAAUACCCCAUAUGCCUAAUGGUGAAAUGAAUUUCGCCUGAGGAUGAGCUCGCGUCUGAUUAGCUAGUUGGUGUGGUAAUGGCUCACCAAGGCUUCGAUCAGUAGCUGGUCUGAGAGGAUGAUCAGCCACACUGGGACUGAGACACGGCCCAGACUCCUACGGGAGGCAGCAGUGGGGAAUUUUCCGCAAUGGGCGAAAGCCUGACGGAGCAACGCCGCGUGAGGGACGAAGGCCUCUGGGCUGUAAACCUCUUUUCUCAAGGAAGAAGAUAUGACGGUACUUGAGGAAUAAGCCACGGCUAAUUCCGUGCCAGCAGCCGCGGUAAUACGGGAGUGGCAAGCGUUAUCCGGAAUUAUUGGGCGUAAAGCGUCCGCAGGCGGCUUUUCAAGUCUGCUGUUAAAGCGUGGAGCUUAACUCCAUCAUGGCAGUGGAAACUGAAAGGCUUGAGUAUGGUAGGGGCAGAGGGAAUUCCCGGUGUAGCGGUGAAAUGCGUAGAUAUCGGGAAGAACACCAGUGGCGAAGGCGCUCUGCUGGGCCAUUACUGACGCUCAUGGACGAAAGCCAGGGGAGCGAAAGGGAUUAGAU
Molecule: ribosomal RNA, 650 nt
Filed under: uncultured marine bacterium
Lineage: Bacteria
Description: bacterial SSU rRNA
Rfam family: Bacterial small subunit ribosomal RNA
Source: RNAcentral